RNAcentral lists this unclassified non-coding RNA (329 nucleotides) under soil metagenome. RNAcentral describes it as "partial contains 5.8S ribosomal RNA, internal transcribed spacer 2, and large subunit ribosomal RNA". The stretch from base 1 to 120 matches the Rfam family "5.8S ribosomal RNA", at positions 35 to 154 of the family's 154-position model. The record is from RNAcentral.
GAUGAAGAACGUAGCGAAAUGCGACAAGUAAUGUGAAUUGCAGAAUUCCGUGAAUCAUCGAAUCUUUGAACGCACAUUGCGCCCUCUGGUAUUCUGGAGGGCAUGCCUGUCCGAGCGUCAUUAUAACCCCUCAAGCUCAGCUUGGUGUUGGGGCCUGCUGCACUGGCAGCCCUUAAAAUCAGUGGCGGCGCCAUCUGGCUCUAAGCGUAGUAAUUCUUCUCGCUAUGGAGUCCUGGUGGAUGCUUGCCAUCAACCCCCAAUUUUUCUAUGGUUGACCUCGGAUCAGGUAGGGAUACCCGCUGAACUUAAGCAUAUCAAUAAGCGGAGGA